UAUAAGUGCGACAAUCAUAACCUUUGAACCUGGUCAGGCCUGAAAAGGAGCAGCCAUAAGAAGAAGUGUGAUGUGUCGCACUUUUUUUU
Molecule: signal recognition particle RNA, 89 nt
Filed under: Mycoplasmataceae bacterium
Lineage: Bacteria; Bacillati; Mycoplasmatota; Mollicutes; Mycoplasmatales; Mycoplasmataceae
Description: signal recognition particle sRNA small type
Rfam family: Bacterial small signal recognition particle RNA
About the family: The signal recognition particle (SRP) is a universally conserved ribonucleoprotein involved in the co-translational targeting of proteins to membranes. Archaeal SRP consists of a 7S RNA and homologues of the eukaryotic SRP19 and SRP54 proteins.
Source: RNAcentral